CCUACGGGAGGCAGCAGUAGGGAAUUUUCGUCAAUGGGCGCAAGCCUGAACGAGCGAUGCCGCGUGAGUGAAGAAGGCCUUCGGGUCGUAAAGCUCUGUUGCGGGGGAAAAAAGGCAGCAUCAGGAAAUGGGUGCUGACUGAUGGUGCACCGCCAGAAAGUCACGGCUAACUACGUGCCAGCAGCCGCGGUAAUACGUAGGUGGCGGGCGUUAUCCGGAAGGAUUGGGCGUAAAGGGUGCGCAGGCGGUCCUGCAAGUCUGGAGUGAAACGCAUGAGCUCAACUCAUGCAUGGCUUUGGAAACUGGAGGACUGGAGAGCAUGAGAGGGCGGUGGAACUCCAUGUGUAGCGGUAAAAUGCGUAGAUAUAUGGAAGAACACCAGUGGCGAAGGCGGCCGCCUGGCCUGUUGCUGACGCUGAGGCACGAAAGCGUGGGGAGCAAAUAGGAUUAGAUACCCUUGUAGUC
Molecule: ribosomal RNA, 465 nt
Filed under: uncultured bacterium
Lineage: Bacteria
Description: partial 16S ribosomal RNA
Rfam family: Bacterial small subunit ribosomal RNA
Source: RNAcentral